GAUGGAAAAUUUAGCAAGUGUACUAAAUAGUCGUCAAGUAGUAUAAUAAAAUCGUUCUCUCCGCAGGGAUUGUUCUAAAUCAAUUGUAAAUUUGAAGACAUACUCAUGUAAAUUGACAUAAAUUGUAAAAAGGGGGUUCUUGUUUGGUUUCAAGUUCAAAUUUUUAAACUUUGGAAUUGCUUUGGUGUUUAGAUUGAUGUAAGAAAAGCGAUUGGUCCUUUUUGGGUCAUCUAAUUACUAUUUCUCUUGGUAA
RNAcentral lists this long non-coding RNA (253 nucleotides) under Trifolium pratense (red clover). RNAcentral describes it as "long non-coding RNA (TPRA_LNC010173)". Lineage: Eukaryota; Viridiplantae; Streptophyta; Magnoliopsida; Fabales; Fabaceae. The record is from RNAcentral.